RNAcentral lists this transfer RNA (73 nucleotides) under Trichonephila clavata. It matches the Rfam family "tRNA". Rfam says of the family: Transfer RNA (tRNA) molecules are approximately 80 nucleotides in length. Their secondary structure includes four short double-helical elements and three loops (D, anti-codon, and T loops). Further hydrogen bonds mediate the characteristic L-shaped molecular structure. tRNAs have two regions of fundamental functional importance: the anti-codon, which is responsible for specific mRNA codon recognition, and the 3' end, to which the tRNAs corresponding amino acid is attached (by aminoacyl-tRNA synthetases). tRNAs cope with the degeneracy of the genetic code in two manners: having more than one tRNA (with a specific anti-codon) for a particular amino acid; and 'wobble' base-pairing, i.e. permitting non-standard base-pairing at the 3rd anti-codon position. Lineage: Eukaryota; Metazoa; Arthropoda; Arachnida; Araneae; Nephilidae. The record is from Rfam by way of RNAcentral.
GUCCCUAUACCACAAUGGAUAGCGUGUUGAACUUCUAAUCCAAAGGUUGUGAGUUCGAAACUCACCUGGGAUG